Molecule: ribosomal RNA, 498 nt
Filed under: uncultured bacterium
Lineage: Bacteria
Description: partial 16S ribosomal RNA
Rfam family: Bacterial small subunit ribosomal RNA
Source: RNAcentral
AACGAACGCUGGCGGCAUGCCUAAUACAUGCAAGUUGAGCGAUGAUAUUCUCUGCUUGCAGAGAAUUGAAGAGUAGCGAACGGGUGAGUAACACGUGGGGAACCUGCCCAUGAGAGGGGGAUAACAUUCGGAAACGGAUGCUAAUACCGCAUAAUGCUUUGGACCGCCUGGUCCAGAGACGAAAGACGGCUUUUGCUGUCACUCAUGGAUGGCCCCGCGCCGUAUUAGCUAGUUGGUGAGGUAAUGGCUCACCAACGCUGUGAUACGUAGCCGACCUGAGAGGGUGAUCGGCCACACUGGGACUGAGACACGGCCCAGACUCCUACGGGAGGCAGCAGUAGGGAAUCUUCCACAAUGGGCGAAAGCCUGAUGGAGCAAUGCCGCGUGAAUGAAGAAGGUCUUCGGAUCGUAAAGUUCUGUUAUUAGAGAAGAACAAGUCAAGGAGUAACUGUCUUGACUUUGACGGUACCUAAACAGAAAGUCACGGCUAACUACGUG